This 336-nucleotide unclassified non-coding RNA is filed under the name soil metagenome. RNAcentral describes it as "partial contains 5.8S ribosomal RNA, internal transcribed spacer 2, and large subunit ribosomal RNA". The stretch from base 1 to 120 matches the Rfam family "5.8S ribosomal RNA", at positions 35 to 154 of the family's 154-position model. The record is from RNAcentral.
GAUGAAGAACGCAGCGAAAUGCGAUAAGUAGUGUGAAUUGCAGAAUUCAGUGAAUCAUCGAAUCUUUGAACGCACAUUGCGCCCCUUGGUAUUCCAUGGGGCAUGCCUGUUCGAGCGUCAUUUGUACCUUCAAGCUUUGCUUGGUGCUGGGUGUUUGUCUCGCCUUUGCGUGUAGACUCGCCUUAAAAUAAUUGGCAGCCGGCGUAUUGAUUUCGGAGCGCAGUACAUCUCGCGCUUUGCACUCAUAACGACAGCGUCCAAAAGUACAUUUUACACUCUUGACCUCGGAUCAGGUAGGGAUACCCGCUGAACUUAAGCAUAUCAAUAAGCGGAGGA